CCUUCACCGCUCCCUACCUUAUCUAUCCGCCGCCUACCUGUCUACUCUAUCCCCCUUCUUACUCCCUAGGUGUCACUGCCUAUUCCUAUCUUAUCCGAAUCGUUGCCGUCCGCCUGCUCUUUCUGCCUAACCUCAAAACUCUCCCCCUUCUUUCUUUUUCCCCCGCCCUUCCCUUCUAUCCCUGCCUCCCUAUUCCCUUCACCCGACCGCCCGUCUAUGUCUUCCCCGCUCCUUCUCUGCCCUAUUUCCUUUUCUCCUCACCUUUGCUAUCCUGCUAAAUUCUCUCCUUUCCUCUCGGACUCUUUCGCACACCUGUCACUCACAUUCAGAACGGAAACGGAAGUUCAUCUAAUGUAAUA
RNAcentral lists this long non-coding RNA (359 nucleotides) under Neodiprion lecontei (redheaded pine sawfly). RNAcentral describes it as "uncharacterized LOC124294985". Lineage: Eukaryota; Metazoa; Arthropoda; Insecta; Hymenoptera; Diprionidae. The record is from RNAcentral.